CUACGGGUUGCUGCAGUCGAGAAUCUUCCACAAUGGGCGAAAGCCUGAUGGAGCAAUGCCGCGUGCGGGAUGACGGCCUUAGGGUUGUAAACCGCUGUCACCGGGGAUGAAUAUUGACAGUACCCGGAGAGGAAGCCACGGCUAACUACGUGCCAGCAGCCGCGGUAAUACGUAGGUGGCGAGCGUUGUUCGGAUUUAUUGGGCGUAAAGGGUUCGUAGGGGGUUUGUUAAGUUUGAUGUGAAAUCCCGGGGCUCAACCCCGGAACUGCAUUGAAAACUGACAGACUAGAGUACCGAGAGGAAAGCGGAAUUCCAGGUGUAGCGGUGGAAUGCGUAGAUAUCUGGAAGAACACCGACAGCGAAGGCAGCUUUCUGGACGGUUACUGACCCUGAGGGACGAAAGCGUGGGUAGCGAACAGGAUUAGAUACCCUGGUAGUC
RNAcentral lists this ribosomal RNA (439 nucleotides) under uncultured bacterium. Its description in RNAcentral is "partial 16S ribosomal RNA". It matches the Rfam family "Bacterial small subunit ribosomal RNA", at positions 339 to 795 of the family's 1533-position model. The record is from RNAcentral.